This is a non-coding RNA of Corylus avellana, 2054 nucleotides long. Lineage: Eukaryota; Viridiplantae; Streptophyta; Magnoliopsida; Fagales; Betulaceae. The record is from RefSeq and is a predicted model, not a curated record.
CCAAACGACGACAAGCACGUGUACUGUGUCUCCCACGCAACGCUUUCCAAGCAUUUCCCCAACUCCUCCCUCUUUCUUUUGCCCAAAACCAAAUCCAUCACAACGCAACCAACCACAAUUCACAACACGUACAACCAAAGCAAAUUCCUUUGUUUCAGAUGGUGUCACCGCCGGUGCACGCGGGUCCGGCGCCGCCGAACCCCCAGCAGACCCAGCAAUUCCUGAGCUCCGUCCUCUCCCAGCGCGGCCCCUCAGCGCUCCCCUACUCCGAGGACACCAAGUGGCUCAUCCGCCAGCACCUCGUCGCUCUCUCCUCCAACUACCCCUCUCUCGAGCCCAAAACGGCGACGUUCACCCACAACGACGGCCGUUCCGUCAACCUCCUCCAGGCAGACGGCACCGUCCCCAUGUCCUUCCAGGGCCUCACCUACAACAUCCCCGUCAUCAUCUGGCUCAUGGAGUCCUACCCCCGCCACCCUCCUUGCGUCUACGUGAAUCCCACGCGCGACAUGGUCAUCAAGCGCCCCCACGCCCACGUCAACCCCUCCGGCCUCGUCUCCGUCCCUUAUCUCCAAAACUGGAUCUACCCCAGCUCCAAUCUCGUCGAACUGGCCCGCGAUCUCAGCCUCUACUUUGGCCGCGACCCCCCUCUCUAUUCCCAGCGCCGCUCCAACCCCAACCCUAACCCUAGCCCCAGCCCCAGCCCCAGCCCUAGCCCUAGUUUCAAUCAUCCCAAUGGAAAUGCCUCGAGCGUGGGCUAUACGCGCCCGCCGAGGGUGUAUCCGCCGUCGCCGUACGGUGGGGUGCAGGCGGAGGACCCGGCGGAGGUGUACAAGAGGAACGCGGUGAACAGGCUGGUGGAGGUCGUCCAUGGGGACAUCACCGCGAUGAGAAAGGGGCGUGAAGGGGAGAUGGACGCGCACUUCAACGCGCAGGCCGUGCUCAGACACCGCGGAGAAGAGCUGAACAGAGGCCUCAAGGAGAUGAUCGACGAGAAGGAAGCGUUGGAGCAGCAGUUGCAGAUGGUGUUGAUGAACGGCGACGUUUUGGAGUCGUGGCUGAGAGACAACGAAGCGAAGAUUACAAGGGGUUUAGGAGGCGACGUGAUCGACGUGGACGACGCGUUCGAGUGUGUCGACGUGUUGUCGAAGCAGAUGAUGGAGUGCACGGCCGCGGACUUGGCCGUCGAGGACGUGGUGUACGCGCUGGACAAGGCGGCGCAGGAGGGUGCCAUGCCGUUCGAUCAGUACCUGAGGUCCGUGCGAUUGUUGUCGCGCGAACAAUUCUUCCACCGCGCCACUGCUGCCAAGGUGCGUGCUGCACAGAUGCAGGCGCAGGUGGCCAAUAUGGCCGCCAGGAUUUCGCAUUAUGGCGGUGAUGCGGAGCAACUGCGUGUUCGAGCAUGAGCUUGGUUGAUUGGUUAUACCAAGUCGUAUCGUGUAACGUCAGGGUCUGGACAUCAGGUGGCGUGUUGCUAGGUGUCUUUGGUCUAUUAUUAUAAGAACUAUAUGAAAGAUGCAACACAGAUGUUAGCCCAAGUCUUCCCUCAAUUGUAUCUUGGUGUGAGGGCUUCUCUAUGUUUGGCAGAUGGGUUUGCUUUUGAGACUACAAGUUAGAGACCCUUCCUUGCAGAAUGCUAGUAUAGUUGACUCUUUAAGAAGAUGGUGCCUUCUUGGUUUGGGUGUGUUGGUAUGAAGAAAGACUAAUACUUGGGGAGUUACAUAGGAAGACUACCAAUGGCUGUUGUCAGCAGUUGCAGAAUUGAGGAAGCAAGUUUUAUUUUCUGCCCAAAACCCUAGUGGUUCCUUUCAAGUUGCUCUCUACAUGCUUCUGGAUAGCACAGUUGAAAAGGUGCAGAUUAUUGUACUGAAAAACCAUCAAAGUAGUCUUACGUAGGUUCAGGAUGCUAGUAACUUGUUUGCUUCCAUUCAAUGCUAUAUCACUGGACUCUUACAGUAGAUUGCAAGCAUUUCAUGAUUGGCUGAGUUUGUAUGGCGUAUCAUGGGAUAUGUAUGAAAUUAUACUUGUGAAUGCAGAUUUUUGUUUUUUUGUUU